AUCGAACGCUGGCGGCAGGCCUAACACAUGCAAGUCGAGCGAGCGGCGGACGGGUGCGUAAUGUCUGGGAAACUGCCUGUUGGAGGGGGAUCACUACUGGAAACGGUUGCUAAUCCCGCAUACCAUCAGAUUUGCCCAGAGGGGAUUAGCUAGUAGGUGGGGUAACGGCUCACCUAGGCGACGAUCCCUAGCUGGUCUGAGAGGAUGACCAGCAACACUGGAACUGAGACACGGUCCAGACUCCUACGGGAGGCAGCAGUGGGGAAUAUUCGACAAUGGGCGAAAGCCUGAUGCAGCCAUGCCGCGUGUGUGAAGAAGGCCUUCGGGUUGUAAAGCACUGUCAGCGGGGAGGCGGUAUCCGCAGAAGAAGCACCGGCUAACUCCGUGCCAGCAGCCGCGGUAAUUC
Molecule: ribosomal RNA, 406 nt
Filed under: uncultured bacterium
Lineage: Bacteria
Description: partial 16S ribosomal RNA
Rfam family: Bacterial small subunit ribosomal RNA
Source: RNAcentral